Molecule: unclassified non-coding RNA, 22 nt
Filed under: Mus musculus (house mouse)
Lineage: Eukaryota; Metazoa; Chordata; Mammalia; Rodentia; Muridae
Description: oocyte_clustered_small_RNA9896
Source: RNAcentral
UCUCCGAGUCUCUGAAUUCACU